UCUAAUCACUGAAGUUAUAAUUAUUAUCAUCAGCUGAGAGAACCAGUGUUGGCUCCACAAUAGGGAUGAGCUUAAGUCUGGGAAUAAUCUAUUGGCUAAGGUUGCUACUGUGACUCAUCUCAUCUGACAACUCCAUCUGAUAUUCAGAUUGAAGCAUUCUUUUUCUUUAAAAAGAUCCAUUCUCCACAACAAUUCUCUACAAGAAGCAGACCAGGAUGGACUAAUCAAUGAGAACACUUUCUUCUGUUGUUGUGUUCAAGCAACAGGAUCCCUGGCCCUGGGUCUGAGGGAGAAUGAGAAUGAUGUUGAUUAUCCUACCAAAUGCUCUACGUGGAUCACAUCAGGCUAACUGCAUCUGUCAUAGCUCCUCUCAAGCAUUUGGCUCUGAUGAUCUGGAGAUCAUGUUUCCUAAGGGAAGGAUGUUUUCACCAAGGGACUCAAGAUUGAUUCCGUUAAGCCAGAAGUUGAGCAUUUUGUGCUCCUUCUGCUACUGAAGCACUAGGUAAAAAGAAGAGGUUUGCUGCAUUAGUGGGGCUGAUUUGUCUUGAUCAGCUUUCUACUACUCAAUGGUAGCAGAGAGAAGUAGGCCUGGAAUUCAGGAGAUUCUCUUACUACAUCUGUGUUUUCUGGUAAAAAGUAAUAGAAAAAUAGAACUACUUCACACACGGUCAUUACUUAGGACACAGGUUCUUCUGGGAAUAAAUCUGAGAACUCACCAGACAAAAAACUAUGAUUAGCUGUCAUGCUGGCUGAGGAUGAAGGGAAUGUGGAAGGGGUAGUGAUAAGGGAAGUUACAAAUACCAACUAUGACAAUGUGACCUUAUACAAAAACCAAGGAUUGUAGUGAGUAUUCAU
Balaenoptera ricei (Rice's whale) is the source of this 855-nucleotide long non-coding RNA. RefSeq lists it as uncharacterized. The transcript is spliced from 3 exons. The record is from RefSeq and is a predicted model, not a curated record. Lineage: Eukaryota; Metazoa; Chordata; Mammalia; Artiodactyla; Balaenopteridae.